Molecule: long non-coding RNA, 245 nt
Filed under: Elaeis guineensis (African oil palm)
Lineage: Eukaryota; Viridiplantae; Streptophyta; Magnoliopsida; Arecales; Arecaceae
Description: long non-coding RNA (EGUI_LNC036482)
Source: RNAcentral
UAACCUUUGAUCAAAUGAAAUUAUUUUGAUCGAACCAACCCGGAUAGUCAGACACCAUUUCUUACCCCAUUCUAUCCUUCCCCCACUCUAGUUUGGAGCAUGAAUCCAUAUCUCUAGCGGUACCGCAAUUCUAACCUUUUUGGGUUUUUUAGGAUUUUCUUGAACUUAUAAGAUGUUGGUAAUAAAAUUAAUUGGAUUCUAAAGAUCCUAAAUAGGUCUAGUUGAUCCAAUUAGCUGAAGUGGGA